This 76-nucleotide transfer RNA is filed under the name Schistocephalus solidus. It matches the Rfam family "tRNA". Rfam says of the family: Transfer RNA (tRNA) molecules are approximately 80 nucleotides in length. Lineage: Eukaryota; Metazoa; Platyhelminthes; Cestoda; Diphyllobothriidea; Diphyllobothriidae. The record is from Rfam by way of RNAcentral.
GGUCUCGUAGCUCAUUUGGCUAGAGCGAUGGCUGUACUUACCCAUGCUGGCGUGGGUUCGAAUCCCACCGAGGCCG